This 445-nucleotide ribosomal RNA is filed under the name uncultured bacterium. Its description in RNAcentral is "partial 16S ribosomal RNA". It matches the Rfam family "Bacterial small subunit ribosomal RNA", at positions 354 to 796 of the family's 1533-position model. The record is from RNAcentral.
GUGAGGAAUAUUGGUCAAUGGGCGGGAGCCUGAACCAGCCAAGUCGCGUGAAGGAAGAAGGAUCUAUGGUUCGUAAACUUCUUUUGCAGGGGAAUAAAGUGCAGGACGUGUCCUGUUUUGUAUGUACCCUGAGAAUAAGGAUCGGCUAACUCCGUGCCAGCAGCCGCGGUAAUACGGAGGAUCCGAGCGUUAUCCGGAUCUAUUGGGUUUAAAGGGUGCGUAGGUGGUUUGAUAAGUCAGCGGUGAAAGUUUGCAGCUUAACUGUAAAAAUGCCGUUGAAACUGUCGGACUUGAGUGUAAAUGAGGUAGGCGGAAUGCGUGGUGUAGCGGUGAAAUGCAUAGAUAUCACGCAGAACUCCGAUUGCGAAGGCAGCUUACUAAGCUACAACUGACACUGAAGCACGAAAGCGUGGGGAUCAAACAGGAUUAGAUACCCCAGUAGUCC